CAGCCGCCGCGGGAAUACAGAGGGUGCAAGCGUUAAUCGGAAUUACUGGGCGUAAAGCGCGCGUAGGUGGUUUGUUAAGUUGGAUGUGAAAUCCCCGGGCUCAACCUGGGAACUGCAUCCAAAACUGGCAGGCCAGAGUAGGGCAGAGGGUGGUGGAAUUUCCUGUGUAGCGGUGAAAUACGUAGAUAUUCGGAAGAACACCAGUGGCGAAGGCGGCUUACUGGCUCAUACUGGACGCUGAGGUGCGAAAGCGUGGGGAGCAAACAGGAUUAGAUACCCCCGUAGUCCCUGUCUCUUAUAC
This 301-nucleotide ribosomal RNA is filed under the name uncultured bacterium. Its description in RNAcentral is "partial 16S ribosomal RNA". It matches the Rfam family "Bacterial small subunit ribosomal RNA", at positions 509 to 807 of the family's 1533-position model. The record is from RNAcentral.